GGUUAAGCGACUAAGCGUACACGGUGGAUGCCCUGGCAGUCAGAGGCGAUGAAGGACGUGCUAAUCUGCGAAAAGCGCCGGCGAGGUGAUAUGAACCCUUGACCCGGCGAUGUCCGAAUGGGGAAACCCAGUGUGUUCCGACACACUAUCGUUAACUGAAUACAUAGGUUAACGAGGCGAACCGGGGGAACUGAAACAUCUAAGUACCCCGAGGAAAAGAAAUCAACCGAGAUUCCCCCAGUAGCGGCGAGCGAACGGGGAGCAGCCCGGAGUCUGAAUCAGCUUGUGUGUUAGUGGAACGGUCUGGAAAGUCCGACGGUACAGGGUGAUAGUCCCGUACACGAAAACACACUUGCUGUGAACUCGAAGAGUAGGGCGGGACACGUGGUAUCCUGUCUGAAUAUGGGGGGACCAUCCUCCAAGGCUAAAUACUCCUGACUGACCGAUAGUGAACCAGUACCGUGAGGGAAAGGCGAAAAGAACCCCGGCGAGGGGAGUGAAAAAGAACCUGAAACCGUGUACGUACAAGCAGUGGGAGCACCUUCGGGUGUGACUGCGUACCUUUUGUAUAAUGGGUCAGCGACUUAUAUUCUGUAGCAAGGUUAACCGUAUAGGGGAGCCGAAGGGAAACCGAGUCUUAACUGGGCGUUAAGUUGCAGGGUAUAGACCCGAAACCCGGUGAUCUAGCCAUGGGCAGGUUGAAGGUUGGGUAACACUAACUGGAGGACCGAACCGACUAAUGUUGAAAAAUUAGCGGAUGACCUGUGGCUGGGGGUGAAAGGCCAAUCAAACCGGGAGAUAGCUGGUUCUCCCCGAAAGCUAUUUAGGUAGCGCCUCGUGAACUCAUCUUCGGGGGUAGAGCACUGUUUCGGCUAGGGGGCCAUCCCGGCUUACCAACCCGAUGCAAACUACGAAUACCGAAGAAUGUUAUCACGGGAGACACACGGCGGGUGCUAACGUCCGUCGUGAAGAGGGAAACAACCCAGACCGCCAGCUAAGGUCCCAAAGUCAUGGUUAAGUGGGAAACGAUGUGGGAAGGCACAGACAGCCAGGAUGUUGGCUUAGAAGCAGCCAUCAUUUAAAGAAAGCGUAAUAGCUCACUGGUCGAGUCGGCCUGCGCGGAAGAUGUAACGGGGCUAAACCAUGCACCGAAGCUGCGGCAGCGACACUAUGUGUUGUUGGGUAGGGGAGCGUUCUGUAAGCCGUUGAAGGUGUGCUGUGAGGCAUGCUGGAGGUAUCAGAAGUGCGAAUGCUGACAUAAGUAACGAUAAAGCGGGUGAAAAGCCCGCUCGCCGGAAGACCAAGGGUUCCUGUCCAACGUUAAUCGGGGCAGGGUGAGUCGACCCCUAAGGCGAGGCCGAAAGGCGUAGUCGAUGGGAAACAGGUUAAUAUUCCUGUACUUGGUGUUACUGCGAAGGGGGGACGGAGAAGGCUAUGUCAGCCGGGCGACGGUUGUCCCGGUUUAAGCAUGUAGGCGGAGGUUCCAGGUAAAUCCGGUACCUUUUAACGCUGAGGUGUGAUGACGAGGCACUACGGUGCUGAAGUGAUAAAUGCCCUGCUUCCAGGAAAAGCCUCUAAGCAUCAGGUAACACGAAAUCGUACCCCAAACCGACACAGGUGGUCAGGUAGAGAAUACCAAGGCGCUUGAGAGAACUCGGGUGAAGGAACUAGGCAAAAUGGUGCCGUAACUUCGGGAGAAGGCACGCUGAUAUGUAGGUGAAGUCCCUGCGGACGGAGCUGAAAUCAGUCGAAGAUACCAGCUGGCUGCAACUGUUUAUUAAAAACACAGCACUGUGCAAACACGAAAGUGGACGUAUACGGUGUGACGCCUGCCCGGUGCCGGAAGGUUAAUUGAUGGGGUUAGCGGCAACGCGAAGCUCUUGAUCGAAGCCCCGGUAAACGGCGGCCGUAACUAUAACGGUCCUAAGGUAGCGAAAUUCCUUGUCGGGUAAGUUCCGACCUGCACGAAUGGCGUAAUGAUGGCCAGGCUGUCUCCACCCGAGACUCAGUGAAAUUGAACUCGCUGUGAAGAUGCAGUGUACCCGCGGCAAGACGGAAAGACCCCGUGAACCUUUACUAUAGCUUGACACUGAACACUGGUCCUUGAUGUGUAGGAUAGGUGGGAGGCUUUGAAGCGUGGACGCCAGUCUGCGUGGAGCCAUCCUUGAAAUACCACCCUUUAAUGGCUGGUGUUCUAACGUAGACCCGUAAUCCGGGUUGCGGACAGUGUCUGGUGGGUAGUUUGACUGGGGCGGUCUCCUCCCAAAGAGUAACGGAGGAGCACGAAGGUUGGCUAAUCCUGGUCGGACAUCAGGAGGUUAGUGCAAUGGCAUAAGCCAGCUUGACUGCGAGCGUGACGGCGCGAGCAGGUGCGAAAGCAGGUCAUAGUGAUCCGGUGGUUCUGAAUGGAAGGGCCAUCGCUCAACGGAUAAAAGGUACUCCGGGGAUAACAGGCUGAUACCGCCCAAGAGUUCAUAUCGACGGCGGUGUUUGGCACCUCGAUGUCGGCUCAUCACAUCCUGGGGCUGAAGUAGGUCCCAAGGGUAUGGCUGUUCGCCAUUUAAAGUGGUACGCGAGCUGGGUUUAGAACGUCGUGAGACAGUUCGGUCCCUAUCUGCCGUGGGCGCUGGAGAAUUGAGGGGGGCUGCUCCUAGUACGAGAGGACCGGAGUGGACGCAUCACUGGUGUUCGGGUUGUCAUGCCAAUGGCACUGCCCGGUAGCUAAAUGCGGAAGAGAUAAGUGCUGAAAGCAUCUAAGCACGAAACUUGCCCCGAGAUGAGUUCUCCCUGAGACUUUAAGUCUCCUGAAGGAACGUUGAAGACGACGACGUUGAUAGGUCGGGUGUGUAAGCGCAGCGAUGCGUUGAGCUAACCGAUACUAAUGAACCGUGAGGCUUAACCUU
Molecule: ribosomal RNA, 2903 nt
Filed under: Enterobacter hormaechei
Lineage: Bacteria; Pseudomonadati; Pseudomonadota; Gammaproteobacteria; Enterobacterales; Enterobacteriaceae
Description: 23S ribosomal RNA
Rfam family: Bacterial large subunit ribosomal RNA
Source: RNAcentral